This 466-nucleotide ribosomal RNA is filed under the name uncultured bacterium. RNAcentral describes it as "bacterial SSU rRNA". It matches the Rfam family "Bacterial small subunit ribosomal RNA", at positions 34 to 507 of the family's 1533-position model. The record is from RNAcentral.
CGCUGGCGGCGUGCCUAACACAUGCAAGUCGAGCGGGGUCCAUCCGGUAGCGAAUACCGGGGAAGACCUAGCGGGCGAACGGGUGAGUAACACGUGAGAAACCUGCCCCGAAGUCUGGGAUAACCCGAGGAAACUCGAGCUAAUACCGGAUGUCUUCUUCUGAUCGCAUGGUCGGAUGAAGAAAGAUUUAUCGCUUCGGGAGGGUCUCGCGGCCUAUCAGCUAGUUGGCGGGGUAACGGCCCACCAAGGCGUCGACGGGUAGCUGGUCUGAGAGGACGAUCAGCCACACUGGGACUGAGACACGGCCCAGACUCCUACGGGAGGCAGCAGUGGGGAAUAUUGCGCAAUGGGCGAAAGCCUGACGCAGCAACGCCGCGUGCGGGAUGAAGGCCUUCGGGUUGUAAACCGCUUUCAGUGGGGACGAAUUCAGACGGUACCCACGGAAGAAGCCCCGGCCAACUACGUG